Molecule: ribosomal RNA, 425 nt
Filed under: uncultured bacterium
Lineage: Bacteria
Description: bacterial SSU rRNA
Rfam family: Bacterial small subunit ribosomal RNA
Source: RNAcentral
UGCCAGCAGCCGCGGUAAUACGAAGGGUGCAAGCGUUACUCGGAAUUACUGGGCGUAAAGCGUGCGUAGGUGGUUUCUUAAGUCUGCUGUGAAAGCCCCGGGCUCAACCUGGGAAUUGCAGUGGAUACUGGGGAGCUAGGGUGCGGUAGAGGGUAGUGGAAUUCCCGGUGUAGCGGUGAAAUGCGUAGAGAUCGGGAGGAACACCAGUGGCGAAGGCGGCUACCUGGACCAGCACUGACACUGAGGCACGAAAGCGUGGGGAGCAAACAGGAUUAGAUACCCUGGUAGUCCACGCCCUAAACGAUGCGAACUGGAUGUUGGGAGCAACUUGGUUCUCAGUGUCGAAGCUAACGCGUUAAGUUCGCCGCCUGGGGAGUACGGUCGCAAGACUGAAACUCAAAGGAAUUGACGGGGGCCCGCACAAG